UCUAGGACACGCAGCAGGCGCGCAAAUUAUCCCCUGGCAACACUUUGCCGAGAUAGUGACAAUAAAUAACAAUGCAGGGCUCUUACGGGUCUUGCAAUUGGAAUGAGUACAAUUUAAAUCCCUUAACGAGGAUCAAUUGGAGGGCAAGUCUGGUGCCAGCAGCCGCGGUAAUUCCAGCUCCAAUAGCGUAUAUUAAAAUUGUUGCCGUUAAAAAGCUCGUAGUCGAACUUCGGGCUCUGUCAGCCGGUCCGCCUUCUUGGUGUGUACUUGUUUGACGGAGCCUUACCUCCUGGUGAACGGCGAUGUCCUUUACUGGGUGUCGUCGCAAACCAGGACUUUUACUUUGAAAAAAUUAGAGUGUUCAAAGCAGGCCUUUGCCCGAAUACAUUAGCAUGGAAUAAUAAAAUAGGACGCGCGUUCCCAUUUUGUUGGUUUCUGAGAUCGCCGUAAUGAUUAAUAGGGAUAGUUGGGGGCAUUUGUAUUCCGUCGUCAGAGGUGAAAUUCUUGGAUUGCCGGAAGACAAACUACUGCGAAAGCAUUUGCCAAGGAUGUUUUCAUUGAUCAAGAACGAAGGAAGGGGGAUCGAAAACGAUUAGAUACCGUUGUAGUCUCUUCUGUAAACUAUGCCAAUUGGGGAUCGGUACAGGAUUUUUAAUGACUGUAUCGGCACCCGAAGAGAAAUCUUUAAAUGAGGUUCGGGGGGGAGUAUGGUCGCAAGGCUGAAACUUAAAGGAAUUGACGGAAGGGCACCACCAGGUGUGGAGCCUGCGGCUUAAUUUGACUCAACACGGGGAAACUCACCAGGUCCAGACACAAUAAGGAUUGACAGAUUGAUAGCUCUUUCUUGAUCUUGUGGUUGGUGGUGCAUGGCCGUUCUUAGUUGGUGGAGUGAUUUGUCUGGUUAAUUCCGAUAACGAACGAGACCUUAACCUGCUAAAUAGACCAGCCGGCUUUGGCUAGCUGCUGUCUUCUUAGAGGGACUAUCAGCGUUUAGCUGAUGGAAGUUUGAGGCAAUAACAGGUCUGUGAUGCCCUUAGAUGUUCUGGGCCGCACGCGCGCUACACUGACAGAGCCAGCGAGUCUACCACCUUUGCCGGAAGGCAUGGGUAAUCUUGUGAAACUCUGUCGUGAUGGGGAUAGAACAUUGCAAUUAUUGUUCUUCAACGAGGAAUACCUAGUAAGCGUGAUUCAUCAGAUCGCGUGAUAC
Molecule: ribosomal RNA, 1207 nt
Filed under: Rhodotorula mucilaginosa
Lineage: Eukaryota; Fungi; Basidiomycota; Microbotryomycetes; Sporidiobolales; Sporidiobolaceae
Description: SSU rRNA
Rfam family: Eukaryotic small subunit ribosomal RNA
Source: RNAcentral